GGAUCUCAGGCGUAGUCGAUGGACAACGGGUUGAUAUUCCCGUACCGGCGCUGACGCGCCCAUGCUGAACCUGGUUGUGCUAACCAUCUGAUCGGAUGUGUCUCUUCGGAGGUGUGUUCGGGAGGUUGGGAUCCUGGCUGGUAGUAGGCAA
Molecule: ribosomal RNA, 151 nt
Filed under: Frankia sp. An2.2
Lineage: Bacteria; Bacillati; Actinomycetota; Actinomycetes; Frankiales; Frankiaceae
Description: partial 23S ribosomal RNA
Source: RNAcentral